AUUGAACGCUGGCGGCAGGCCUAACACAUGCAAGUCGGACGGUAGCACAGAGGAGCUUGCUCUUCGGGUGACGAGUGGCGGACGGGUGAGUAAUGUCUGGGAAACUGCCCGAUGGAGGGGGAUAACUACUGGAAACGGUAGCUAAUACCGCAUAACGUCGCAAGACCAAAGUGGGGGACCUUCGGGCCUCCCACCAUCGGAUGUGCCCAGAUGGGAUUAGCUGGUAGGCGGGGUAACGGCCCACCUAGGCGACGAUCCCUAGCUGGUCUGAGAGGAUGACCAGCCACACUGGAACUGAGACACGGUCCAGACUCCUACGGGAGGCAGCAGUGGGGAAUAUUGCACAAUGGGCGCAAGCCUGAUGCAGCCAUGCCGCGUGUAUGAAGAAGGCCUUCGGGUUGUAAAGUACUUUCAGCGGGGAGGAAGGUGCUGAGGUUAAUAAGCUCAGCAAUUGACGUUACCCGCAGAAGAAGCACCGGCUAACUCCGUGCCAGCCGCCGCGGUAA
This 506-nucleotide ribosomal RNA is filed under the name uncultured bacterium. RNAcentral describes it as "partial 16S ribosomal RNA". It matches the Rfam family "Bacterial small subunit ribosomal RNA", at positions 29 to 523 of the family's 1533-position model. The record is from RNAcentral.